Molecule: ribosomal RNA, 253 nt
Filed under: uncultured bacterium
Lineage: Bacteria
Description: partial 16S ribosomal RNA
Rfam family: Bacterial small subunit ribosomal RNA
Source: RNAcentral
CACGGGGGGAGCAAGCGUUGUUCGGAAUCACUGGGCGUAAAGGGCGUGCAGGCGGUCAGGUAAGUGGGAUGUGAAAUGCCCCGGCUCACCCGGGGACCGGCAUCUCAUACUGCUUGGCUUGAGUACGGGAGAGGAUGUGGGAAUUCCUGGUGUAGCGGUGAAAUGCGUAGAUAUCUGGAGGAACACCGGUGGCGAAGGCGGUUCUCUGGGCCUUACCUGACGCUGAGGAGCGAAAGCGUGGGGAGCGAACAGG